UAGGGAAUCUUCGGCAAUGGGGGGAACCCUGACCGAGCAACGCCGCGCGAGUUAAGAAGGUUUUCGGAUCGUAAAGCUCUGUUGUUAAGGAAGAACGAGUGUGAGAAUGGAAAGUUCAUACUGUGACGGUACUUAACCAGAAAGGGACGGCUAACUACGUGCCAGCAGCCGCGGUAAUACGUAGGUCCCGAGCGUUGUCCGGAUUUAUUGGGCGUAAAGCGAGCGCAGGCGGUUAGAUAAGUCUGAAGUUAAAGGCAGUGGCUCAACCAUUGUAGGCUUUGGAAACUGUUUAACUUGAGUGCAGAAGGGGAGAGUGGAAUUCCAUGUGUAGCGGUGAAAUGCGUAGAUAUAUGGAGGAACACCGGUGGCGAAAGCGGCUCUCUGGUCUGUAACUGACGCUGAGGCUCGAAAGCGUGGGGAGCGAACAGG
Molecule: ribosomal RNA, 429 nt
Filed under: Bacteroidota bacterium
Lineage: Bacteria; Pseudomonadati; Bacteroidota
Description: Bacteroidetes bacterium partial 16S ribosomal RNA
Rfam family: Bacterial small subunit ribosomal RNA
Source: RNAcentral